GGAGUUAGGGUUUAGUGGGGUACAAUUGGUUAAUGUGGAAUUAAGAGACCUCGGUUUGCGUGCAGAAGAAAAGAAAAAAAUUCCUAUCCUCCUUCUUCCUUCCAGCCCCCACGCGCGAGAUCCUUUUUCCCCAACUUGUUCUUCCACCAGUCGUACGUGGUUUCGGCAGGUCACCGGCCGUCUGAACGCCGUCGCCUCCUCAUUGUCACCGUCCGCGCCGCUCACACCUCAGCCCAGCUGCUCCACUCGCAUAUCAGUUUUCCGCCAGCUGCAUCGCUCGACCUUUUGCUUUUCCGCCAGUCACAUCGCACACCGACGUUUUCCACCAGUCCGAGUUUCUUUGGUUUUUCCGUUCCCUUCUUCACGCCCGCCAGUCGCUGAUCUCUUCCAUUUUGCCCGAAACUCUGCGAAUUGUUUUUUUUUUUUUUUUUUGUGAGAGUUAGGUUUUAUUUGGUUUUUAGUUAUUGGGUUUUGAAUGGCUAUCGAAUUUGGUCUAAUUUAAGUCAUGCUCAGGAUGCAUUGUUGCUCAAUUUGGGGUUUCAAGAUAUUAUUUUUCCGAUACUAUUCAGAAGCAUCAAAGAUUGUUGGAGCCACCUUUUGUUUGGCUUAUGACUGGUUUGGAUUCCAUACUUGAAGCUCAGGUGUAGUUCUAGUUAAGUCGACAUUUUGGGGCGAUUCAAGCAUUUGACUCAAGUCAAAGAGGGAUUUGAUUGAUAGUUGGAUUUUUGUUUGCUAAUUGUUCGACAUAAAUUUGAGGUAAGGGUAAAGAUAGACCGGCGCAUGACAAGAGAGAUCCGUGACUUGGCCAUUUGGACGAGUUGUUGCUUCCGCACUUAGGUUUCAUGUACUAGAGUAUGGUUUAGGAGUCAGGCAUUUUAAAAUUUUAUGAAAUAUUCCUUGAUUUUAUUUAUUGAUUUAUUUAAUUGUUAUUUAUUUUAAA
Benincasa hispida (wax gourd) is the source of this 940-nucleotide long non-coding RNA. RefSeq lists it as uncharacterized. The record is from RefSeq and is a predicted model, not a curated record. NCBI's taxonomy places the organism in Eukaryota, Viridiplantae, Streptophyta, Magnoliopsida, Cucurbitales, Cucurbitaceae.